RNAcentral lists this ribosomal RNA (554 nucleotides) under Bifidobacterium pseudocatenulatum. Its description in RNAcentral is "bacterial SSU rRNA". It matches the Rfam family "Bacterial small subunit ribosomal RNA", at positions 145 to 710 of the family's 1533-position model. Lineage: Bacteria; Bacillati; Actinomycetota; Actinomycetes; Bifidobacteriales; Bifidobacteriaceae. The record is from RNAcentral.
UUCUCCUGGAAACGGGUGGUAAUGCCGGAUGCUCCGACUCCUCGCAUGGGGUGUCGGGAAAGAUUUCAUCGGUAUGGGAUGGGGUCGCGUCCUAUCAGGUAGUCGGCGGGGUAACGGCCCACCGAGCCUACGACGGGUAGCCGGCCUGAGAGGGCGACCGGCCACAUUGGGACUGAGAUACGGCCCAGACUCCUACGGGAGGCAGCAGUGGGGAAUAUUGCACAAUGGGCGCAAGCCUGAUGCAGCGACGCCGCGUGCGGGAUGACGGCCUUCGGGUUGUAAACCGCUUUUGAUCGGGAGCAAGCCUUCGGGUGAGUGUACCUUUCGAAUAAGCACCGGCUAACUACGUGCCAGCAGCCGCGGUAAUACGUAGGGUGCAAGCGUUAUCCGGAAUUAUUGGGCGUAAAGGGCUCGUAGGCGGUUCGUCGCGUCCGGUGUGAAAGUCCAUCGCUUAACGGUGGAUCUGCGCCGGGUACGGGCGGGCUGGAGUGCGGUAGGGGAGACUGGAAUUCCCGGUGUAACGGUGGAAUGUGUAGAUAUCGAAAAAAAACACC